This 668-nucleotide unclassified non-coding RNA is filed under the name Hevea brasiliensis (rubber tree). The record is from RNAcentral. Lineage: Eukaryota; Viridiplantae; Streptophyta; Magnoliopsida; Malpighiales; Euphorbiaceae.
CGCUCAAUGAGAUAAAUAUAUGGGCAAAUGUGUAUGCCAAAACACAAGUUAUUUCUACAAAAAAAAACGAGGAAUUUAUUUGUUCCUGAGAUACAUCCUUCCAUCAUCUAUCAGAAAGAACAAUUUCUUGAUAGAAAGGCAAGUAUCGUACAGUAUAAACAGCAAUUCUCUUACCAGAAAAUUAAUUAGCGGCCUCCAGAAAUGGAUAAUCAGUAUAGCCAAUUACAGGAUCAGAAAUAUAGAAUGUAUCUCUAUUGUACUUGUUGAGAGGAGCAUUAAGCUCAAAUCUCCUAGGUAAAUCAGGAUUGGCUAAGAAAAGACGGCCAUAAACAACGAGAUCUGCUCGGUUUUCUGCUAUGGCUUUAUUUCCAUCUUCCCUGUCAUAACCUCCAGCAGCAAGAAAAGUCCCUUUGAAAGCCUUUCUCAUGGGCAGAAGACUGUCUGGACAUUCAGAUUUUUCUCCAACUGUUUUCAUUCUUGGCUCAACCAUGUGGCAGUAAAGAAUUCCAUAUUUAUUCAAGGAUUCAGCCAUGUAAAGUCCCAAAGCUUUAGGAUUUGAGUCCCCAGAUUCCAUAUAGUUUGCAAAUGGAGAUAAUCUAAUUCCAACUUUAUCUGCUCCUAUCUCGUUGGCUACAGCUUCAACUAUUUCCAAAGCGAAACGGCAGCGG